GAUGAACGCUGGCGGCGUGCUUAACACAUGCAAGUCGAACGAAGAUGCCGGAGUGCUUGCACUUUGGCAGACUGAGUGGCGGACGGGUGAGUAACGCGUGGGUAACCUGCCUUAUACAGGGGGAUAACAGUUGGAAACGACUGCUAAUACCGCAUAAGCGCACGGUAUCGCAUGAUACAGUGUGAAAAACUCCGGUGGUAUAAGAUGGACCCGCGUCUGAUUAGCUUGUUGGUGAGGUAACGGCUCACCAAGGCGACGAUCAGUAGCCGGCCUGAGAGGGUGAACGGCCACAUUGGGACUGAGACACGGCCCAAACUCCUACGGGAGGCAGCAGUGGGGAAUAUUGCACAAUGGGGGAAACCCUGAUGCAGCGACGCCGCGUGAGUGAUGAAGUAUUUCGGUAUGUAAAACUCUAUCAGCAGGGAAGAUAAUGACGGUACCUGACUAAGAAGCACCGGCUAA
Molecule: ribosomal RNA, 462 nt
Filed under: uncultured bacterium
Lineage: Bacteria
Description: bacterial SSU rRNA
Rfam family: Bacterial small subunit ribosomal RNA
Source: RNAcentral